RNAcentral lists this ribosomal RNA (254 nucleotides) under uncultured bacterium. Its description in RNAcentral is "partial 16S ribosomal RNA". It matches the Rfam family "Bacterial small subunit ribosomal RNA", at positions 524 to 776 of the family's 1533-position model. The record is from RNAcentral.
UACAGAGGGUGCAAGCGUUAAUCGGAAUUACUGGGCGUAAAGGGCGCGUAGGCGGUCAGCACAAGUCAGUUGUGAAAUCUCCGGGCUUAACCCGGAAAGGUCAACUGAUACUGUGCGACUAGAGUGCGGAAGGGGCAACUGGAAUUCUCGGUGUAGCGGUGAAAUGCGUAGAUAUCGAGAGGAACACCUGCGGCGAAGGCGGGUUGCUGGGCCGACACUGACGCUGAUGCGCGAAAGCCAGGGGAGCGAACGGG